CAGUCGCCGCGGGAAUACAGAGGGUGCGAGCGUUAAUCGGAUUUACUGGGCGUAAAGCGUGCGUAGGCGGCUUUUUAAGUCGGAUGUGAAAUCCCUGAGCUUAACUUAGGAAUUGCAUUCGAUACUGGGAAGCUAGAGUAUGGGAGAGGAUGGUAGAAUUCCAGGUGUAGCGGUAAAAUGCGUAGAGAUCUGGAGGAAUACCGAUGGCGAAGGCAGCCAUCUGGCCUAAUACUGACGCUGAGGUACGAAAGCAUGGGGAGCAAACAGGAUUAGAUACCCCCGUAGUCCCUGUCUCUUAUAC
Molecule: ribosomal RNA, 301 nt
Filed under: uncultured bacterium
Lineage: Bacteria
Description: partial 16S ribosomal RNA
Rfam family: Bacterial small subunit ribosomal RNA
Source: RNAcentral